This is a long non-coding RNA of Diachasma alloeum, 1698 nucleotides long. RefSeq lists it as uncharacterized. Lineage: Eukaryota; Metazoa; Arthropoda; Insecta; Hymenoptera; Braconidae. The record is from RefSeq and is a predicted model, not a curated record. The transcript is spliced from 4 exons.
CAUAUUGUUUGGAAACUCUACUGUGUUGUGACGUUUAUUUUGUAUGGAGAAAAUAAAAAUAAACAACAAUUGAGAAUAUGAAAGAUGAAAACAAUGCAGCAGUGUGAGAAAUAAAUUGAGAUGCAAGAAAUGGGUACAGGCUGUAGGCGUAGAGGACCUCACAAUAGAGAAAUAGAGAAGCAAUAGAGAAGCUCAAUGGGAUAUGCUACGUCUGUGGAUGCCACUUUACUCCCGAUCAAUUUUGUCAUCCCUCGAGGAAAAAACUGAAGAUGACAGCUGUCCCAUCACUGUUCGAUCCUCGAGUCAUUCCUCUGGCCGAUGAAUUGUUGGAGAAUUUUCCAAUCCUGAAUGUUCUGAAGAUUCCGAUUGAAGCUAAAAGAAUCCUGUUGACUCCCGAUUCCCCGACUUUGCCGCCUAAUUUGAAAAACAUCUGUAGGACCAACACUAACACAAAUGAUUUAAUAAAGCGAUUAGACUCUCUAUUUUACAGUUGUGAUGCACUGUUGGAAACUUAGACACCCCCCCCCCUUCGCAUCACCAUCACCAGGAUAGAGCUCUGUCCAAUGAUCUCCAAUUCGGGCAUCCAAUGUCCUGAUCACUUGUCGAAGGGUUACAGCAUCCCCAGCGCCUCGCAUCAGCAACGCCAGUACCCAUCUUUGUCCAGUAAACCCCACGGUCUUGUUUACUUAUUGAAGGUUUAGAGCACCCCUUUACUUCAUCAGCAACACCAGGAUUCAACUCAACCAAGAUGCAAUGGCCGUUCAUGCGAGGAUCCAAUGUCCUGAUCACCCGGCAAAGCCUUACAACAUCCCCAGUACCUCGCAUCAGCAACGCCAGUACCCAUCCUUGUCCAGUCAACCCCACUGUCUUGUUUACCUAUUGAAGGCUUACAGGACCCCCUGUACUUAAUCAGCAACACCAGAGUCCAGUUCAACCAAGAUGCAAUGACUCCCCAGCAACUCCCAACAUGACAAUAAUCUGCAACACUCGUGUAAAGAUUCCAGGAGAUACAUACGCCAAAGAUUAGCGAAGUCUCUACCACGUUAUGAAAAAACGAAGUUCAUCCUUGACAACUGUUCAGAACAAUUGGAUCCAGAAAUACAAGACUAUUCGAAACAAUGCUAUACUCGUCUUGAUACAGUUCUUCGUCAACUCUAGUAUAGCUAUACAGGAUUAUUUUGUGUGCAUGAAGAAACUGAUCAGGAGCCUGUUAUUAGUAACCCGGCUUACACAAGAUGCAAAGAGGGUCAUGAAGAAGUUAUCAUUAAUUCAUCAGACCAGAAGAGGCUGAAGAAGCUGAUGGGGAUUCUCAUCAUGAACUUUCGGACUGCGUUGUCUACUUUCAAUUUUAUGAUAUCAAUUUAUCGUAUCAAUAAGUUGUACGUUGAUUGUGAUUCUCUGUGUUAUAAAUGUCAUGUCAGGAUGAACCAGAAUAUCCCAUGUGAGGAAUAUUCUGCAAUAUUUAUAGCGUCUUAAAUAAGGCCAGUACUUUUGUUAUAUCUGUAAAUUUAUAUUCCGAUUGAUUUCAUUAUAAAUUUUGAGAUACUUGUUACUGUAUAGUUAUGUUACAUACUAUUUGGGUAUCAGUCCAGAGUUAAAGUUUCAUAAGUAUAUAAAUAGGUUUAUGAUGUUAUUCGUUUUAUUCUUUGAUAAUAAUAAUAAUAAUAGAUAAUAAUAAAUACGGAGUCAGGAACUUUA